UGUCAGCCUGGUGGCUUAUUUGAUGCUCCUCUCCAUAAAACCCAACCGACAGCCCUUGGUCUACCCUGGGCUUGUACGAGGCUCUCCUUUUGUUGGGCAGUGAAGAGGCCUGGGCAGCUCUCACUCCUCCAACUGGGCAGAGCUUCAUGUUUGAUCUUCCAUUUAAAUUAGCAGUGCUCAGGGUGUCUGGGUGCUUCGUCCACAUGAGCUGUGGUGAGUAAAUAAACAAGGCUCUGCUUUCAAAGGCUUUCACAACUCAUUAACUUCAAAGGAACGGGCUCUAUUUUCUUAGCAGGUCGGUCAUUCCACAGACUUACUCUGGGUGCUGAAGGUGGUGACUGGCCAUUCCAGGAAGCUGGGGCAGCUGCUGCAGGGCCCAGUGUCACACACAGAACUGUGGUGAGGGGUAGAGGAGCAGCCCAUGGUCAGUGUUAUGUCUGAGGAGGAGAACAGGACCCACCUGGGAGCCUGCUUGCCAGAAGGAGAAAUGGCACAAGAGGAAAUACAUCUUCACAGCCUCGGGAGAGGAGAAGGUUGGAAUCUGAGUCCAUAAACAGCAUUUCUGUGCAGUGAGCAAAGACAGAGCAGGUUGAGCUCUGGAGAGUGUAACUCCACCUCUGCUGCUCCACUGCCAAUUAAAAAUAAAGAAGAGCUUGUUUGUUUUUCC
This is a long non-coding RNA of Prinia subflava (tawny-flanked prinia), 667 nucleotides long. RefSeq lists it as uncharacterized. Lineage: Eukaryota; Metazoa; Chordata; Aves; Passeriformes; Cisticolidae. The transcript has 2 exons. The record is from RefSeq and is a predicted model, not a curated record.